AGUGUUUCACGUACAGCGUACGAUCAUCAGGCGAUUGGUGUUCAGGCGAUUGGUGAACACCAAUCGCCUGAUGAUCGUACGCUGUACGUGAAACACU
Paramuricea clavata is the source of this 97-nucleotide non-coding RNA. Lineage: Eukaryota; Metazoa; Cnidaria; Anthozoa; Malacalcyonacea; Plexauridae. The record is from the annotation of a GenBank genome assembly.